UUAAUGGAAUGGCAUGGGACGCUGAGAUCGUCGUGUCGAGGUAUAAAAAAAACCUUUCUUUAGAAGCAUGCAGUUCCCUUUGGACACUGCUUUAAAUUGAGUCUUAUCUCAAUUCAAACAUCAUUUUGGUUUUAAUGACGAUGCUUCUGCAUGUAAAUUAAUACUCCCUCCGUUUUAAUUUAUGUGGAUCCAUUUGAUUGAGCACGGAAUUUAAGAAAAUAGAGAAGACUUUUGAACAUGUGGUGUAAAAUGAGGCACAUAUAUUUUUUGUGGCUAUAAAUCAUUACAUAAAGGUAAAUUGUUACCAAAUAAGGAAAUGGGUCAUUCUUUUUAGCACGGACUAAAAAAGAAAUAAGUUCACAUAAAUUGAAACGGAGGGAGUAUAUAUUAUCUUUGUCAAAGUUUUGGGAGGUCUGUGUUAGAUAUUAGUUUCAAUGAAGAAUUUUUUUUUUACUUUCCUUAUAGGUACCCAAGAAUUAAGCAAGACUCAAAACAAGGAGCAAAGCGGAAAGAAAGAAAAGAAGAACAAUGCUGAUUAUGAAAAGUCAGGGAAAAGAAAGCAGCCAAGAUGUUUAACGAAGGAAAAUCAAAUCCGCAAAAUAAGGAUAAAAGAAAAAGAUUCAUCCAGCGGUAGAUUAGGAAGAUCCUCAUCAACUUCAAGAAAGAAGGAAGAAGAAUCAAGUAUUACAAGGUAGGCAUAUAUCCACUUAAGGAAGAAUCAGUCAAGCCAGAAAGUCCCACAAGUUAGGACAUCUCUAUCAAUCAAGCAUGCAUCAAGGAGAAGAUUAU
This 789-nucleotide long non-coding RNA is filed under the name Nicotiana tabacum (common tobacco). Its description in RNAcentral is "long non-coding RNA (NTAB_LNC010710)". The record is from RNAcentral. Lineage: Eukaryota; Viridiplantae; Streptophyta; Magnoliopsida; Solanales; Solanaceae.